Molecule: long non-coding RNA, 264 nt
Organism: Vespula pensylvanica (western yellowjacket)
Lineage: Eukaryota; Metazoa; Arthropoda; Insecta; Hymenoptera; Vespidae
Exons: 2
Source: RefSeq, a predicted model, not a curated record
GACGUUAGUGGUAUAUGCAGCUUUUCGUUCCUUCGUUCGAGUGAUUUGAUUUCGUUGCAAUUUACUAAUAAUUGUACAUUGUUGCGAAUAAGUUGCAAUUAAUUUUUAUAUCCAUAAUUCGUUGUGUUGUUUAGCGCAGUUGUAUGUAUUUCACAUCGCCAUCGCAGUAACCUAAAAACAUAAACGUCGACUAUUACGAAUUCAUACGUUUUUCCAAUAUUUCUAGAUAAUUCUGUUUUAUUUUCGGAUUAGAAUAUUAAGAAA